Cornus florida is the source of this 321-nucleotide long non-coding RNA. RefSeq lists it as uncharacterized. The transcript is spliced from 2 exons. NCBI's taxonomy places the organism in Eukaryota, Viridiplantae, Streptophyta, Magnoliopsida, Cornales, Cornaceae. The record is from RefSeq and is a predicted model, not a curated record.
AGCUAGAAAAUUUGAGAAUGAGAAAUACAGUGAGGAAUUCGAGAGUCUCAGAGAAAGCAAAAACUUGAUGAAUUUGAUGAUCCAGUGUGGAAUAAUGGUUUUACAGAUUUCAGGUACCGAGAAUGAACUUGGAUUCAUAGUAGCGGGCUUAGGUGGAAGAGUUAGUGUUGAGGAAUUAAAUUAUUUUAUUUAGAGACUUUUAUGUAUUUAUUUGAGGAAAUUGAUUUAGUAUCAAUUUAAUUAAUUUGAGCUAUUGCCUUAUUUAUUUGAGGAAAUUUGAUUGAUUUUGUAUCAAUAAAGGGUAUUUUAUUUCUUUUGAGA